Molecule: ribosomal RNA, 949 nt
Filed under: uncultured bacterium
Lineage: Bacteria
Description: bacterial SSU rRNA
Rfam family: Bacterial small subunit ribosomal RNA
Source: RNAcentral
GCAAGUCGAGGGGCAGCAUCAUUAAAGCUUGCUUUGAUGGAUGGCGACCGGCGCACGGGUGAGUAACACGUAUCCAACCUGCCGACAACACUGGGAUAGCCUUUCGAAAGAAAGAUUAAUACCAGAUGGCAUAGUUUUCCCGCAUGGGAUAAUUAUUAAAGAAUUUCGGUUGUCGAUGGGGAUGCGUUCCAUUAGGCAGUUGGCGGGGUAACGGCCCACCAAACCAACGAUGGAUAGGGGUUCUGAGAGGAAGGUCCCCCACAUUGGAACUGAGACACGGUCCAAACUCCUACGGGAGGCAGCAGUGAGGAAUAUUGGUCAAUGGACGAGAGUCUGAACCAGCCAAGUAGCGUGAAGGAUGACUGCCCUAUGGGUUGUAAACUUCUUUUAUACGGGAAUAAAGUGAGCCACGUGUGGCUUUUUGUAUGUACCGUAUGAAUAAGGAUCGGCUAACUCCGUGCCAGCAGCCGCGGUAAUACGGAGGAUCCGAGCGUUAUCCGGAUUUAUUGGGUUUAAAGGGAGCGUAGGCGGGUUGUUAAGUCAGUUGUGAAAGUUUGCGGCUCAACCGUAAAAUUGCAGUUGAUACUGGCGACCUUGAGUGCAACAGAGGUAGGCGGAAUUCGUGGUGUAGCGGUGAAAUGCUUAGAUAUCACGAAGAACUCCGAUUGCGAAGGCAGCUUACUGGAUUGUAACUGACGCUGAUGCUCGAAAGUGUGGGUAUCAAACAGGAUUAGAUACCCUGGUAGUCCACACAGUAAACGAUGAAUACUCGCUGUUGGCGAUAUACGGUCAGCGGCCAAGCGAAAGCAUUAAGUAUUCCACCUGGGGAGUACGCCGGCAACGGUGAAACUCAAAGGAAUUGACGGGGGCCCGCACAAGCGGAGGAACAUGUGGUUUAAUUCGAUGAUACGCGAGGAACCUUACCCGGGCUUGAAAGUUAGCGACGAUU